Molecule: long non-coding RNA, 832 nt
Filed under: Equus asinus (donkey)
Lineage: Eukaryota; Metazoa; Chordata; Mammalia; Perissodactyla; Equidae
Description: lncRNA (ENSEASG00005032580.1, ENSEASG00020016231.1)
Source: RNAcentral
CAGCAGAGGGGCUUCAGGUGGUGAAGUUGCUGUUGUUAUGUGUAUGCGUAGGCGUGAGAGAGAACAAUUUGAAAGGAAGGAGCAGUGGAGAGGAGAGAUGGACACUGUCUUUGUACCUGCUCCUGACUGCAGACCUGCUUGGAAGGCAGCAAGCAUAUGAACCCAGAGGGUGAGGCAGAGCUGGAAAUGUCAGAGAUACCACGAGGAGGCACUAGAAUUCCACAUGGCUUCCCUCCGCCAAGAAAAGCCACAUCCAACGAAGUGUCUUGACCUGAGCUGGAGCCUCGUAACAGAUGCCUCACUGAGCCAAAAUGAGCAAGAAAGAGGAUUCGAAAAGAGGACUGUGGGGGAUAUUAAUGCAAGGAGGCCACAGCGCUGCUAUGGCAAAGAGCGGAACGAUCACUUCAAAGGGACUCUGACACAGCCAAAUCCCCCCUCCACCUCGGGACAGCAUCCCUCCCCUGCCCCCAGGAGCCACAUCCAAACAAUAGCAUAUUGUUCCCUCACCCCAGCUUUCUUCCUCCGCUAAUGAAGCAGAAUACUCAGGCUCAUAAAAGAGGGAUUUCAUGCCACUGCCACAGUAUCUCCCCAUUGAAUCCUCUCUGCCUCAUUCAACGAUAGAUUACAACCGCCAUAAACAUUAUUACCAUUUUCCCCUUUUCUUCCCAAGAUGUCACUGAAACUUUCAUCCCAGACCUUCAAACCUUAGAUUUCUGUAUAGGCUAGCAAGAGAGAAAAAAAAUCCUUUGAAAUUUCAAAUAUACGUAUCUAACUCCUGCGAGGGACUGGGAAAUGUAACCAUGGAAACUAGAGCAUGCCUGUAACCAUGGAG